UGAGGAAUAUUGGACAAUGGGCGGAAGCCUGAUCCAGCCAUGCCGCGUGCAGGAAGACUGCCCUAUGGGUUGUAAACUGCUUUUGUACGGGAAGAAACCUCCCCUCGUGAGGGGAGCUGACGGUACCGUAAGAAUAAGCAUCGGCUAACUCCGUGCCAGCAGCCGCGGUAAUACGGAGGAUGCAAGCGUUAUCCGGAAUCAUUGGGUUUAAAGGGUCCGUAGGCGGGCAAUUAAGUCAGGGGUGAAAGUCUGCGGCUCAACCGUAGGACUGCCCUUGAUACUGGUUGUCUUGAAUGGUUGUGAAGCGGUUAGAAUGAGCAGUGUAGCGGUGAAAUGCAUAGAUAUUGCUCAGAAUACCGAUUGCGAAGGCAGAUCGCUAACAACGCAUUGACGCUGAGGGACGAAAGCGUGGGGAGCGAACAGG
Molecule: ribosomal RNA, 424 nt
Filed under: uncultured bacterium
Lineage: Bacteria
Description: bacterial SSU rRNA
Rfam family: Bacterial small subunit ribosomal RNA
Source: RNAcentral